AGAGCCGUCAAACAGGCAAAGCGUCAAUACAGAAUUACGGAGGGAGCCAAUAACACUGAACCAUGCAUGAGAGCACCAGCAGUUCCCGGAUGACUGUGUGAUCUCGCUCUCCGUAGCCGAUAUCCAUGUAGUGAAGAAUGAGGAAGACGAGGAAGAUGAGGAAGAUGUGGAGAAAUCCAUUGCCUUUAUUACCAGGCUGUUUUAAUACCGUCCUCGGCUCCAGAGACCCCUGGUUGCACUGAACAGAACAAUUAAACGGAGACCACGUUACCAACUGUCGCAUCCUGACCAUAGUUGGCUGUGUACGUUUCUAUGUUUUGUUUGGUCAGGGUGUGAUCUGAGUGGGCAUUCUAUGUUACAUGUCUAGUUUAUCUAUUUCUAUGUUUGGCCUGAUAUGGUUCUCAAUCAGAGGCAGGUGUUAGUCAUUGUCUCUGAUUGGGAACCAUAUUUAGGUUUUGUGGGUGAUUGUUCCUGUCUCUGUGUUUGUUGCACCAGAUAGGGCUGUUUUGUUUUUUUCACGUUUCUUGUUUUGUAGAUUGUUGUAUUUUCAUCUUUAUUAAAGAUGUACAAAACUAA
Molecule: long non-coding RNA, 576 nt
Organism: Oncorhynchus masou masou (cherry salmon)
Lineage: Eukaryota; Metazoa; Chordata; Actinopteri; Salmoniformes; Salmonidae
Exons: 2
Source: RefSeq, a predicted model, not a curated record